GGUCUGGUGGUGUAGUUGGUUAUCACGUCAGUCUAACAACGUCGGGCCGUCCCCGGAUGGCCUCGUCGCUGAGUUUCACUGAAGGUCUCCGGUUCAAGUCCGGGCUGGAUCA
RNAcentral lists this transfer RNA (112 nucleotides) under Colletotrichum higginsianum. RNAcentral's name for it is "tRNA CH063_16439". It matches the Rfam family "tRNA". From Rfam's summary of the family: Transfer RNA (tRNA) molecules are approximately 80 nucleotides in length. Their secondary structure includes four short double-helical elements and three loops (D, anti-codon, and T loops). RNAcentral also lists the same sequence under 1 other name. The record is from RNAcentral. Lineage: Eukaryota; Fungi; Ascomycota; Sordariomycetes; Glomerellales; Glomerellaceae.